This is a long non-coding RNA of Gadus morhua (Atlantic cod), 1823 nucleotides long. NCBI's taxonomy places the organism in Eukaryota, Metazoa, Chordata, Actinopteri, Gadiformes, Gadidae. The record is from Ensembl.
AUCUGGAGGACUGACGGAGAAGCCGUACAUCUGGAAGGCAAAUCCUGAGGACGACCAGGACUCUACCAUCAAGGAUUCCUCGCACACCUGAGCUGAACUCCACCUGAUCCGGACAUCCUGCUGGUCCCGUCUCCUCAGUUCAUCUGAGCCUCUUCCUCCAGAAAACCUGCUGAGCUCAGCGGUCUGAGGCUGAUGUAUCAAUGACCUCCAGUGGGAGUGAUCUUCUUGACCCCACAUGUAGCCGUGUGCUUCCACACGCCUUUCCCUCACGUCUGUCACUAACCUCAUUACUUCUCUACUCCUUCCCCUUCUUCCUUCUCCGUGGUUCGAACCUUUACUCUGAAGGAGUGUCUCCUUGAACCUUUACACUGAAGGAGCGUAUUCCUGUCCUCAGAGGGUUCAGCGUUAGGGUUGAGAGUCAGGGUUUAGAGUCAGGGACAGAGCUGGUCAGGGAAUGCUGGUUUUACAUAAACCUUUUCAUUUGCUUUCUGAAUGGUGGUGUCAUUUUGAUGAGAUUAAUUUGGGAAAAUGUUUUCCUCUGCUUUCCUUUACAAAAAUAUGUAUUAAACUUCUGUGUUUGUAACCAGACCAGGUAUCCAUGGCUGAAGGAGCUGAUGGAGGAGCCGUGUUGAAGUUCCUGCCUGGGGGAGGAGCCGUGCUGGAGGCCCUGCCUGGUGGAGGAGCUGAUGGAGGCCCUGCCUGGUGGGGGAGCUGUGCUGAUGGAGGCCCUGCCUGGUGGAGGAUGUCUGUCGUGGGGUAGAUGGAGCCUGACUCUGAAACCAGGACUCUGUCUGAGGAGAGCAGACGGAGGAGCUGAGACGCUGGAGGACAACUAGGAAUCAACCAAAAAGGAUUCCUCAACGUGUUUCUGGAGCAGAGGGGAGCUGGUAGGGGAGCCGUUAAUCUGGAGGAUGACCAUCACUCUACCAACAAGGAUUACGUUGGGGCCAGACUCGCGCUGUUUGUUCCAGACCAGGACUCUGGCUGAGGAGCGCUGAUGGAGGAGCCAAGACUCUGGAGGACGACAUCACUCUACCAACAAAGAUCCUCAGCCCAACUGCUCCUGUGUUUGACCUUACAAUAGAGACAAAUUACAUUACCAGACCAGGAAUCUGGAGGACUGACGGAGAAGCCGUACAUCUGGAAGGCAAAUCCUGAGGAUGACCAGGACUCUACCAUCAAGGAUUCCUCACACACCUGAGCUGAACCUCACCUGAUCCUGUUUGGUCGGGGGAAGACGCACCUGAGCUGAACCUCACCUGAUUGGUCGGGGGCAGACUCACCUGAGCUGCACCUCACCUGAUCCUGUUUGGUGGGGGGCAGACUCACCUGAGCUGAACCCACCCUGAUCCUGACAUCCUGCUGGUCCCGUCUCCUCAGUUCAUCUGAGCCUCGUCCUCCAGAAGACCUGCUGAGCUCAGCGGUCUGAGGCUGAUGGAUCAAUGACCUCCAGUGGGAGUGAUCUUCUUGACCCCACAUGUAGCCGUGUGCUUCCACACGCCUUUCCCUCACGUCUGCCACUAACCUCACUACUUCACUACUCUCUACUGCUUCCUCUUUUCUUCCUUCUCUGUGGUUCAAACCUUUUAUACUGAAGGCGCGUCUUCCUGCCCUCAGAGGGUUUAGCGUUAGGGUUGAGAGUCAGGGUUUAGAGUCAGGGACAGAGCUGGUCAGGGAGGACUGCUUUUACACAAACCUCUUCACUUGCUUUCGGAAUGGUGGUGACAUUUUGAAAAGAUUCAUUGGGGAAAAUGUUUUCCUCUGCUUUCCUUUACAAAUUGUAUUCAACUUCUGUCAAGUGUUUUUGUUUAUAUUAAAAUCCC